GACGAACGCUGGCGGCGUGCCUAACACAUGCAAGUGGAGCGACGAACCGGGGCUUGCCCCGGGGCAGAGCCGCGAACGGGUGAGUAACACGUGGGUGACCUGCCCCGAUGACUGGGACAACCCGUCGCAAGACGGGCUAAUACCGGACGUGCCCUUUGGUGGAACGGAAGCUUCGGCCUCCGCAUCGGGAUGGGCCCGCGGCGCAUUAGCUUGUUGGUCGGGUAAUGGCUUACCAAGGCGACGAUGCGUAGCUGGUCUGAGAGGACGAUCAGCCACACUGGGACUGAGACACGGCCCAGACUCCUACGGGAGGCAGCAGUGGGGAAUCUUGCACAAUGCGCGAAAGCGUGAUGCAGCAACGCCGCGUGCGGGAAGAAGGCCUUAGGGUUGUAAACCGCUUUCAGUUGGGACGAGGCUUCGAUCGCGAAUAGCGGUUUGGAGUGACGGUACCUACAGAAGAAGCGCCGGCUAACUACGUG
RNAcentral lists this ribosomal RNA (479 nucleotides) under uncultured bacterium. RNAcentral's name for it is "partial 16S ribosomal RNA". It matches the Rfam family "Bacterial small subunit ribosomal RNA", at positions 28 to 507 of the family's 1533-position model. The record is from RNAcentral.